AUUGAACGCUGGCGGCAGGCCUAACACAUGCAAGUCGAGCGGAUGAAGGGAGCUUGCUCCUGGAUUCAGCGGCGGACGGGUGAGUAAUGCCUAGGAAUCUGCCUGGUAGUGGGGGAUAACGUCCUGAAACGGGCGCUAAUACCGCAUACGUCCUGAUGGAGAAAGUGGGGGAUCUUCGGACCUCACGCUAUCAGAUGAGCCUAGGUCGGAUUAGCUAGUUGGUGGGGUAAAGGCCUACCAAGGCGACGAUCCGUAACUGGUCUGAGAGGAUGAUCAGUCACACUGGAACUGAGACACGGCCCAGACUCCUACGGGAGGCAGCAGUGGGGAAUAUUGGACGAUGGGCGAAAGCCUGAUCCAGCCAUGCCGCGUGUGUGAAGAAGGUCUUCGGAUGGUAAAGCACUUUAAGUUGGGAGGAAGGGAAGUAAGUUAAUACCUUGCUGUUUUGACGUUACCAACAGAAUAAGCACCGGCUAACUUCGUG
This 484-nucleotide ribosomal RNA is filed under the name uncultured bacterium. RNAcentral's name for it is "partial 16S ribosomal RNA". It matches the Rfam family "Bacterial small subunit ribosomal RNA", at positions 30 to 507 of the family's 1533-position model. The record is from RNAcentral.